CCUACGGGCGGCAGCAGUGGGGAAUAUUGGACAAUGGGGGCAACCCUGAUCCAGCCAUGCCGCGUGUGUGAAGAAGGCCCUCGGGUUGUAAAGCACUUUCAGUGAGGAAGAACGCCUGGUGGUUAAUACCCAUCAGGAAAGACAUCACUCACAGAAGAAGCACCGGCUAACUCCGUGCCAGCAGCCGCGGUAAUACGGAGGGUGCGAGCGUUAAUCGGAAUUACUGGGCGUAAAGCGCGCGUAGGUGGCUUGAUAAGCCGGUUGUGAAAGCCCCGGGCUCAACCUGGGAACGGCAUCCGGAACCGUCAAGCUAGAGUGCAGGAGAGGAAGGUAGAAUUCCCGGUGUAGCGGUGAAAUGCGUAGAGAUCGGGAGGAAUACCAGUGGCGAAGGCGGCCUUCUGGACUGACACUGACACUGAGGUGCGAAAGCGUGGGUAGCAAACAGGAUUAGAUACCCUUGUAGUC
This 465-nucleotide ribosomal RNA is filed under the name Vreelandella stevensii. Its description in RNAcentral is "partial 16S ribosomal RNA". It matches the Rfam family "Bacterial small subunit ribosomal RNA", at positions 338 to 795 of the family's 1533-position model. Lineage: Bacteria; Pseudomonadati; Pseudomonadota; Gammaproteobacteria; Oceanospirillales; Halomonadaceae. The record is from RNAcentral.